UUCGACGUCGGCUUUGUUUGAAGAUUCUUCCUGGUCAUCGACGUAUUGAUUCGCUCCUAGGGACUGGAGAUUUCCAACAAGGGUUUUCUUUCUCAUUGAGAUGAGGUCGGCUAGUGCGGACAAGUAGAGGACUACCGAAGGAAGCUCAAAACAGCGAUCGACAAAGUUGCCCGUCGCCAGAGACAGUUGUUUGAGAGAGUCCAGCCCACCUCUGCAUAAGGCUCCGACGAGCUUCGCUCUUUGAGGGGGACCAUGGAAGGACUGUCUGUGGCCCUUGGGCGGGAGG
This 286-nucleotide long non-coding RNA is filed under the name Elaeis guineensis (African oil palm). Its description in RNAcentral is "long non-coding RNA (EGUI_LNC072912)". Lineage: Eukaryota; Viridiplantae; Streptophyta; Magnoliopsida; Arecales; Arecaceae. The record is from RNAcentral.